RNAcentral lists this ribosomal RNA (274 nucleotides) under uncultured bacterium. RNAcentral describes it as "partial 16S ribosomal RNA". It matches the Rfam family "Bacterial small subunit ribosomal RNA", at positions 523 to 796 of the family's 1533-position model. The record is from RNAcentral.
AUACAGAGGGUGCGAGCGUUAAUCGGAAUUACUGGGCGUAAAGCGCGCGUAGGCGGCUUAUUAAGUCAGAUGUGAAAUCCCCGGGCUCAACCUGGGAACUGCAUCUGAUACUGGUAAGCUAGAGUUUUGGAGAGGGAAGUAGAAUUUCAGGUGUAGCGGUGAAAUGCAUAGAGAUCUGAAGGAAUACCAGUGGUGAAGGCGACUUCCUGGCCAAAAACUGACGCUGAGGUGCGAAAGCGUGGGUAGCAAACGGGAUUAGAAACCCUAGUAGUCC